This 470-nucleotide ribosomal RNA is filed under the name uncultured Glomus. Its description in RNAcentral is "SSU rRNA". It matches the Rfam family "Eukaryotic small subunit ribosomal RNA", at positions 569 to 1043 of the family's 1831-position model. Lineage: Eukaryota; Fungi; Glomeromycota; Glomeromycetes; Glomerales; Glomeraceae. The record is from RNAcentral.
AGCAGCCGCGGUAAUUCCAGCUCCAAUAGCGUAUAUUAAAGUUGUUGCAGUUAAAAAGCUCGUAGUUGAAUUUCGAGAUCAGUACGCUGCUCGUGCCUUCGGUAUGCACUGGUGUCACUGGUUUCUCCCUUCUGAAGAACCGUCAUGCCAUUCAGUUGGUGUGGCGGGGAAUCAGGACUGUUACUUUGAAAAAAUUAGAGUGUUUAAAGCAGGCUCGCGCUUGAAUACAUUAGCAUGGAAUAAUGAAAUAGGACGUUUGACCCUAUUUUGUUGGUUUCUAGGAUCGACGUAAUGAUUAAUAGGGAUAGUUGGGGGCAUUAGUAUUCAAUUGUCAGAGGUGAAAUUCUUGGAUUUAUUGAAGACUAACUACUGCGAAAGCAUUUGCCAAGGAUGUUUUCAUUAAUCAAGAACGAAAGUUAGGGGAUCGAAGACGAUCAGAUACCGUCGUAGUCUUAACCAUAAACUAUGCC